RNAcentral lists this ribosomal RNA (255 nucleotides) under uncultured bacterium. RNAcentral's name for it is "partial 16S ribosomal RNA". It matches the Rfam family "Bacterial small subunit ribosomal RNA", at positions 524 to 776 of the family's 1533-position model. The record is from RNAcentral.
UACGUAGGGGGCAAGCGUUGUCCGGAAUCAUUGGGCGUAAAGCGCGUGUAGGCGGUCCGGUAAGUCCGCUGUGAAAGUCGGGGGGCUCAACCCUCGGAUGCCGGUGGAUACUGUCGGGCUUGAGUACGGAAGAGGCGAGUGGAAUUCCUGGUGUAGCGGUGAAAUGCGCAGAUAUCAGGAGGAACACCGGUGGCGAAGGCGGGAUCCUGGGCCAUUACUGACGCUGGAGGAGCGAAAGCGUGGGGAGCGAACAGG